This 467-nucleotide ribosomal RNA is filed under the name uncultured bacterium. RNAcentral describes it as "partial 16S ribosomal RNA". It matches the Rfam family "Bacterial small subunit ribosomal RNA", at positions 28 to 506 of the family's 1533-position model. The record is from RNAcentral.
GACGAACGCUGGCGGCGUGCUUAACACAUGCAAGUCGAACGGAAAGGCCCUGCUUUUGUGGGGUGCUCGAGUGGCGAACGGGUGAGUAACACGUGAGUAACCUGCCCUUGACUUUGGGAUAACUUCAGGAAACUGGGGCUAAUACCGGAUAGGAGCUCCUGCUGCAUGGUGGGGGUUGGAAAGUUUCGGCGGUUGGGGAUGGACUCGCGGCUUAUCAGCUUGUUGGUGGGGUAGUGGCUUACCAAGGCUUUGACGGGUAGCCGGCCUGAGAGGGUGACCGGCCACAUUGGGACUGAGAUACGGCCCAGACUCCUACGGGAGGCAGGAGUGGGGAAUAUUGCACAAUGGGCGGAAGCCUGAUGCAGCAACGCCGCGUGCGGGAUGACGGCCUUCGGGUUGUAAACCGCUUUCGCCUGUGACGAAGCGUGAGUGACGGUAAUGGGUAAAGAAGCACCGGCUAACUACGU